GCGAUGCAGCAACGUUGCCGUCCUGCGUUCUGCCAUUUUAAGUGGAAUGGAAUUGGAGCAGGUUGGAAUCUUCUCCAAUUAUUUACCUUUUUAUUCCUCAUUUUGGCUAAGUGUGGUAGCAAAUGCAUACUACGUGAACGCUCAAUAUGGUUCCAAAAUGUUGAUUUAAUUAUAAAUGAUUUUGACUAUCUAAAAGGUGAUGAUAAUUCGUGUUUCAAUGACCUUUAUGUUGUUUUAUGUUAUUAAUAUCAAGUAAAUGAUUUUUACCGUAUUAAUAUAUCUAGUAUUAUUAAGUGGCGUCGUUUAAUGUAAUAUAUAAUGAUUUUUUUGUGAUUAAACUAAUUAACCCACUGCAAAUGAUAUCCUUUGAACGAAAAUUUGGCGGGGCCCUUUUGCGGUAAAUGUUCGGGAACUGAACUCCCAAAACCAAUCCAAACAUAUUACUAGUUCUGCACAGAUUGGAUAGCACGAAGGAUUCGUACACUACGCUUAAUUUCACAGAGAUGGGAACAGUGAAAAUGUUCUGACAGUUGUAAGAAGUUAUGCAAGUGCACCAACUUUCUUACACCCCUUUUUUUCACCCUCUUUUUUGUGUUCAUGGAGUUUGGUGUGAGUAGCUAAACAGCACUACAGCUAACAGUCGCAUUUUUACUUCUAUACAACAAAGGCUCUCAGCGAGGCUGCUGAAUCAUUCGGCGGGGGCUGCCCAUUGGGUUCGGACGCUGCGCGGGUUUAUCCCAGUAUUUUGCUGAUUGCAGGAUUGGUCUGACAGCGUUCUUGGGAGAUUUCAAGCCCAGGUUCCUCACCAUCGACUCUUCAUCGUUCAGAAACCCUGUCCCAGAAGAACACAAUCAAAUAAAUAGCUAUUAAGCUUGAUCACACAUAGUUGCUGUUUUAUGAUGGAAGAGAUGCGAUGGAUUACCAUAGUCAAUUAUUCCUUUCUUCAGGGCCUCUGCAGCUACCACGGAUUGGUGGAAAGCUGCAUCAUCAAGCUCCGCCUCGAUAAUGGAUAAUUCAUCCCCGAUUCCAAGAUCAAUAGUGUCUGGCAGCAGGUUGGCCACAUCCUCCUCAUCAUUAACAUCGAAGGUUUCUUGAUC
RNAcentral lists this long non-coding RNA (1097 nucleotides) under Musa acuminata (dwarf banana). RNAcentral's name for it is "long non-coding RNA (MACU_LNC000206)". Lineage: Eukaryota; Viridiplantae; Streptophyta; Magnoliopsida; Zingiberales; Musaceae. The record is from RNAcentral.